CCGUCUCGACCACGGGGAGGUUGAGUCUCGGCAGCGGCAGUCGAACUUAGCGCGGCAAGCGGUGCACAAGUGCAGCGCGACUUCCUCCCUCGCGGCUCCCCCCGUCGCGGAUUUUUACCCCCUUCCGCCCUUCCCCCGCAGCCCGCGGUCCAGUCCGUCGGGUUUUUUUGUCGUUUUGAGCGCCGCGCCGCGCGUCUUUAUUAUCCUGCUCCACCGGUGACGUCACGUGUGAGUCAACCCGCGUCCGCUCCUGUGGCUCCUGUCAUCCGGCCCGAGUUUCAGCGGCUUUCGUGCCUGUCCUCGUCUUCGCGUCGACGGCGUGAGAAAACGCGUCGUACCGUGUAAAGCGAGACACAGCACUCGAGCCUUUUCCAGUGCUGGAUUGACUUUGCUUCGAACCUCCGCUUAAUCUUCAGGCGCUCACUCAGCUGGUUUUUCGACGCAUGGCCAUUGUUUCAGGGGGCUCUACAAUCAGAAACUUUCUGUAGCAUUUGUCUCUACUAGAAACACUCGUUGCUCCAGUGUGAACGCGAUGAGCUUUGCGUCGAUCGUUUCCGAAGAAUUUUUUGUUAGUGUCAGAAACUUUUCUACGAGUUCUUGAGGACUUUUCCAAGUUAUUUCCGUGACAGUUUAGUGCGUUCUUUGAAGACCGUUUCGUGAGUUUUUAAAAACUCUCCAAAGUGAUCUGAAACCAUCGGUUCUGUAAGUUUUUCAAGGGUUACGAGUGAACAUUCGGGUAGUUCUGCGUGUGUUCUCGGGGCUGUUCGGUGAAGUAGGGGUCGUAUCGAGAGUGCGGGGACUCGGGCACGGACUGAUGUUGGGUUCAAGAUGAGAUCAUUGGGGCCGACGAUCGCGAUCGGAGUCUGGUGGGCUUUGGUGAGCCUGGUGACAGCGUCGCUGGACUACUGUUGCGUCGACAUGAUCGCCUCCGCCAAAGCGCCCUGGAUGCAGUUUACCAAGGAGCUCAGCUCACAGGAGUUCAGCGUCACCAACUCCCUGAAGUCCCUUCACUGUUGCGCCAAAGGCUACCGUAGCAUCGAGUGGUACAAGGAUGGAAAGCCUUAUCCAUGGCGUAGGGAUGUCUCGAAUAUGAUAUUAUACCCAGAAUCAGCCAAUCAAACCGUGUACACGCACGCAGUGACAGCGAGGGAUGCUGGGAAUUAUACUUGUAUCGUCCGCAACGAUUCCAGUUCCAUAUCUCACACUAUUCACUUAUCCACAUUCGAUAAGGCGGGAUAUGUUGACGCACCGUUACCGACGUACCAAUUGGCCAAUGAGCAAUACGCCAAGGUUGGCUCCACCGUGAGAUUAUUUUGCGAAGCUUUCGUAGGUCAUAUUGAUCUUCCUGACGCAAAAAAUCAAGUUGAGUGGAUGCGGCUCGGCGAAAAUCAAACACUCGAAGGGAAUGAACGAUUUUCUCAAAAGCAAAUUUCCAGAGAGGAUGGUCAAAUAAUUGGAAAGUAUUUGGAGAUCUCAUCAGUUCACCGAAAUGAUUUUGGCAACUAUAUGUGCACAAUAAGCAACAGCGGGGACCAAACUAUCCAGCUCAUCACAACACUUCGAGAAGAGGAAUGGUUUUCAAUGCAAGUAGCCGACUACACAGACUGGGGUUGGAUGGUUUUCUUGGUCUGCUCAUUGAUUUCAUUGAUACUCAUUGUCUGUCUAGUUUUGAGGCGAUAUUGCUUCCAUUCGUAUGGCUGA
RNAcentral lists this long non-coding RNA (1701 nucleotides) under Bemisia tabaci. RNAcentral's name for it is "lncRNA ENSASIAIIG003987". Lineage: Eukaryota; Metazoa; Arthropoda; Insecta; Hemiptera; Aleyrodidae. The record is from RNAcentral.